This 207-nucleotide ribosomal RNA is filed under the name uncultured bacterium. Its description in RNAcentral is "partial 16S ribosomal RNA". It matches the Rfam family "Bacterial small subunit ribosomal RNA", at positions 1286 to 1500 of the family's 1533-position model. The record is from RNAcentral.
UCUCAGUUCGGAUUGGAGUCUGCAACUCGACUCCAUGAAGCUGGAUUCGCUAGUAAUCGCGCAUCAGCCAUGGCGCGGUGAAUACGUUCCCGGGCCUUGUACACACCGCCCGUCAAGCCAUGGAAGCCGGGAGUGCCUGAAGUGUGCAACCGCAAGGAGCGCCCUAAGGUAAAACUGGUGACUGGGGCUAAGUCGUAACAAGGUAAC